This is a non-coding RNA of Phrynosoma platyrhinos (Desert horned lizard), 72 nucleotides long. The record is from the annotation of a GenBank genome assembly. NCBI's taxonomy places the organism in Eukaryota, Metazoa, Chordata, Lepidosauria, Squamata, Phrynosomatidae.
GCCAGCAUGGUAUAAUGGUUUGAAUACUGGACUAUGACUCUAGAGACUAGGGUUCAAAUCCCUGCUUAGUCA